GGCUUACUCCUUCGCCUGGGAUUUUCCUGACCUGUUACUACUAUUCUCUGGAAGAAAAAUUUAAAAGUGAUAAAGACAAACUACAGGCAAGCCAGAAGACAGGGCCACAGCUUGGCCCUGUGAGGGACAGGCAUUUCCUUCCUGUCUUUGAAUCCAAACUGCUGUCAGCUCUACCACCACCCACUCACAUGCAGAGCCCCUGGCUGGCUGCUAGAGCCUCAGCAAAAGCCAGUGUAAGUUACUUGGGUGAGUUGGCUCCCCAAGCUUUUGAAAUACCUGCCUUUUGUCCAGCACUGCAUCGUCCUCGCAUAUCCAAGGCUGUGUCUCCCUUCAGCAUCACCACUCGGUAGUUAUAAUUCCGCC
This is a long non-coding RNA of Symphalangus syndactylus (siamang), 363 nucleotides long. RefSeq lists it as uncharacterized. The record is from RefSeq and is a predicted model, not a curated record. NCBI's taxonomy places the organism in Eukaryota, Metazoa, Chordata, Mammalia, Primates, Hylobatidae.